AAGACUGCCCGACUUGAGGGCUUACGAGGGACACGGAAUUCCGGGUGGAGUGGUGAAAUGCGUAGAUAUCCGGAGGAACACCAGAGGCGAAGGCAGUGUCCUGGGAAGUACCUGACGCUCAGGUGCGAAAGCUAGGGGAGCAAACGGGAUUAGAUACCCCGGUAGUCCUAGCCGUAAACGAUGACCACUAGGCGUGGGGGGUAUCGACCCCUUCCGUGCCGUAGCUAACGUGAUAAGUGGUCCGCCUGGGGAGUACGGUCGCAAGAUUAAAACUCAAAGGAAUUGACGGGGACCCGCACAAGCAGCGGAGCGUGUGGUUUAAUUCGAUGCAACGCGAAGAACCUUACCAGGGUUUGACAUGUUCUCGCACCACCGGGAAACCGGUGUACCCGCAAGGGACGGGAGCACAGGUGCUGCAUGGCUGUCGUCAGCUCGUGUCGUGAGAUGUUGGGUUAAGUCCCGCAACGAGCGCAACCCUUGUCGUCGGUUACAAGUGUCCGACGAGACUGCCGCGAUCAACGCGGAGGAAGGCGGGGAUGACGUCAAGUCAGCACGGCCCUUACAUCCUGGGCUACACACACGCUACAAUGGUCGGUACAACGGGUUGCCAACCCGCGAGGGGGAGCUAAUCCCAGCAAAACCGGUCUCAGUUCAGAUUGUAGGCUGAAACUCGCCUGCAUGAAGAUGGAGUUGCUAGUAACCGUGGGUCAGCACACCACGGUGAAUACGUUCCCGGGUCUUGUACACACCGCCCGUCACACCACGAAAGUCGGCAACACCUGAAGCCGUCGGGCUAACCCGUAAGGGGGGCAGACGUCGAGGGUGGGGUCGGUGAUUGGGGUGAAGUCGUAACAAGGUACCAAUCCCGCGGCCAGGCGGCC
This 881-nucleotide ribosomal RNA is filed under the name uncultured bacterium. RNAcentral describes it as "bacterial SSU rRNA". It matches the Rfam family "Bacterial small subunit ribosomal RNA", at positions 629 to 1533 of the family's 1533-position model. The record is from RNAcentral.